CCUACGGGUGGCAGCAGUGGGGAAUAUUGCACAAUGGGGGAAACCCUGAUGCAGCGACGCCGCGUGAGUGAAGAAGUAUCUCGGUACGUAAAGCUCUAUCAGCAGGAAAGAAAAUGACGGUACCUGACUAAGAAGCCCCGGCUAACUACGUGCCAGCAGCCGCGGUAAUACGUAGGGGGCAAGCGUUAUCCGGAUUUACUGGGUGUAAAGGGAGCGUAGACGGUGCUGCAAGUCAGGAGUGAAAGCCCAUGGCUUAACCAUGGUACUGCUCUGGAAACUGUAGAGCUAGAGAGCGGGAGGGGCAGGCGGAAUGCCUGGUGUAGCGGUGAAAUGCGUAGAUAUUAGGAGGAACACCGGCGGCGAAGGCGGCCUGCCGGACCGUAACUGACGUUGAGGCUCGAAAGCGUGGGGAGCAAACAGGAUUAGAUACCCUUGUAGUC
Molecule: ribosomal RNA, 440 nt
Filed under: uncultured bacterium
Lineage: Bacteria
Description: partial 16S ribosomal RNA
Rfam family: Bacterial small subunit ribosomal RNA
Source: RNAcentral